UUGGAGGGCAAGUCUGGUGCCAGCAGCCGCGGUAAUUCCAGCUCCAAUAGCGUAUAUUAAAGUUGUUGCAGUUAAAAAGCUCGUAGUUGAAUUUCGGGAUUAGUACGUCGGUCGUGCCUUAGGUACGUACUGGUGUUACUGGUUCCUACCUUCUGACGAACCAUCAUGUCAUUAAUUUGGUGUGGUGGGGAAUCAGGACUGUUACUUUGAAAAAAUUAGAGUGUUUAAAGCAGGCUCGCGCUUGAAUACAUUAGCAUGGAAUAAUGAAAUAGGACGUUGAUCCUAUUUUGUUGGUUUCUAGGAUUGACGUAAUGAUUAAUAGGGAUAGUUGGGGGCAUUAGUAUUCAAUUGUCAGAGGUGAAAUUCUUGGAUUUAUUGAAGACUAACUACUGCGAAAGCAUUUGCCAAGGAUGUUUUCAUUAAUCAAGAACGAAAGUUAGGGGAUCGAAGACGAUCAGAUACCGUCGUAGUCUUAACCAUAAACUACGCCGACUAGGGAUCGGAUGAUGUUAUUUUUAAUGACUCAUUCGGCGCCUUACGGGAAAC
This 546-nucleotide ribosomal RNA is filed under the name uncultured Glomus. Its description in RNAcentral is "SSU rRNA". It matches the Rfam family "Eukaryotic small subunit ribosomal RNA", at positions 548 to 1098 of the family's 1831-position model. Lineage: Eukaryota; Fungi; Glomeromycota; Glomeromycetes; Glomerales; Glomeraceae. The record is from RNAcentral.